RNAcentral lists this ribosomal RNA (1547 nucleotides) under Salmonella enterica. RNAcentral's name for it is "partial 23S ribosomal RNA". It matches the Rfam family "Bacterial large subunit ribosomal RNA", at positions 1272 to 2802 of the family's 2925-position model. The record is from RNAcentral. Lineage: Bacteria; Pseudomonadati; Pseudomonadota; Gammaproteobacteria; Enterobacterales; Enterobacteriaceae.
GCUGGAGGUAUCAGAAGUGCGAAUGCUGACAUAAGUAACGAUAAAGCGGGUGAAAAGCCCGCUCGCCGGAAGACCAAGGGUUCCUGUCCAACGUUAAUCGGGGCAGGGUGAGUCGACCCCUAAGGCGAGGCCGAAAGGCGUAGUCGAUGGGAAACGGGUUAAUAUUCCCGUACUUGGUGUUACUGCGAAGGGGGGACGGAGAAGGCUAUGUUGGCCGGGCGACGGUUGUCCCGGUUUAAGCGUGUAGGUGUGUGUUCCAGGUAAAUCCGGUUCACUUUAACACUGAGGCGUGACGACGAGGCACUACGGUGCUGAAGCAACAAAUGCCCUGCUUCCAGGAAAAGCCUCUAAGCAUCAGGUAACACGAAAUCGUACCCCAAACCGACACAGGUGGUCAGGUAGAGAAUACCAAGGCGCUUGAGAGAACUCGGGUGAAGGAACUAGGCAAAAUGGUGCCGUAACUUCGGGAGAAGGCACGCUGACACGUAGGUGAAGUGAUUUACUCAUGGAGCUGAAGUCAGUCGAAGAUACCAGCUGGCUGCAACUGUUUAUUAAAAACACAGCACUGUGCAAACACGAAAGUGGACGUAUACGGUGUGACGCCUGCCCGGUGCCGGAAGGUUAAUUGAUGGGGUCAGCGUAAGCGAAGCUCCUGAUCGAAGCCCCGGUAAACGGCGGCCGUAACUAUAACGGUCCUAAGGUAGCGAAAUUCCUUGUCGGGUAAGUUCCGACCUGCACGAAUGGCGUAAUGAUGGCCAGGCUGUCUCCACCCGAGACUCAGUGAAAUUGAACUCGCUGUGAAGAUGCAGUGUACCCGCGGCAAGACGGAAAGACCCCGUGAACCUUUACUAUAGCUUGACACUGAACAUUGAGCCUUGAUGUGUAGGAUAGGUGGGAGGCUUUGAAGUGUGGACGCCAGUCUGCAUGGAGCCGACCUUGAAAUACCACCCUUUAAUGUUUGAUGUUCUAACGUGGACCCGUAAUCCGGGUUGCGGACAGUGUCUGGUGGGUAGUUUGACUGGGGCGGUCUCCUCCUAAAGAGUAACGGAGGAGCACGAAGGUUGGCUAAUCCUGGUCGGACAUCAGGAGGUUAGUGCAAUGGCAUAAGCCAGCUUGACUGCGAGCGUGACGGCGCGAGCAGGUGCGAAAGCAGGUCAUAGUGAUCCGGUGGUUCUGAAUGGAAGGGCCAUCGCUCAACGGAUAAAAGGUACUCCGGGGAUAACAGGCUGAUACCGCCCAAGAGUUCAUAUCGACGGCGGUGUUUGGCACCUCGAUGUCGGCUCAUCACAUCCUGGGGCUGAAGUAGGUCCCAAGGGUAUGGCUGUUCGCCAUUUAAAGUGGUACGCGAGCUGGGUUUAGAACGUCGUGAGACAGUUCGGUCCCUAUCUGCCGUGGGCGCUGGAGAACUGAGGGGGGCUGCUCCUAGUACGAGAGGACCGGAGUGGACGCAUCACUGGUGUUCGGGUUGUCAUGCCAAUGGCACUGCCCGGUAGCUAAAUGCGGAAGAGAUAAGUGCUGAAAGCAUCUAAGCACGAAACUUGCCCCGA